Molecule: transfer RNA, 73 nt
Filed under: uncultured archaeon
Lineage: Archaea
Description: tRNA-Ala(ggc)
Rfam family: tRNA
About the family: Transfer RNA (tRNA) molecules are approximately 80 nucleotides in length. Their secondary structure includes four short double-helical elements and three loops (D, anti-codon, and T loops).
Source: RNAcentral
GGGCUCGUAGAUCAGCGGAAGAUCGCCCCCUUGGCAUGGGGGAGGCCUCGGGUUCAAAUCCCGACGAGUCCAC